Long non-coding RNA from Hypanus sabinus (Atlantic stingray), 4988 nucleotides. RefSeq lists it as uncharacterized. The record is from RefSeq and is a predicted model, not a curated record. Lineage: Eukaryota; Metazoa; Chordata; Chondrichthyes; Myliobatiformes; Dasyatidae. The transcript is spliced from 3 exons.
AGUGGCCUCAUGCUGAAUGAGGUGAGCAACACAUCAACAAGAUGCUUCGCAAAGUUGGCGUCCUGUGGCUUUGAACGCAACAGGCGAUUUGCGAGUAUGACGGUCAACCCAGCAUGAAUGGAAAGUGUAUAAGGAGCAGAUUUGAACCCGGGACUACUUGCCUUGAUGUCUGGUGCAGAUGCCACUACACCCCUGGCCGGCACCCAAGUGAAUACCUUGCAUCAAUAUCUACCAAGGAGAAGGAAGUGGAGGAUAGAAAGAUAAGUAUGGAGUAUGCUGACAUGCUAGGGUAUUUUCAGAUAAAGAAAGAGUUAUUGCUGGGUCUCCUAAUGAGCAUUAAGGUGGAUAACUCCCCAGGCCUGAUUGGUUAUACCUCAGGUUAUUAUGAGAGGCAAGAGAUGAGAUUGCUGAAGUCUUGACAAACAUCUUCAUGUCAUUUCUAGUCAUGGGCGAGGUCCCAGAGGAUGAGUGAGUAGCUAAUGUCCCAUGAUUUAAGCAAGGAAAUAGGGGUAAUCCUAGAAACUCUAAACAAGUGAGUUUCACUUCAGUGGGAGGGAAGGUACUGGAGAGGAUUUUUAAGGAUAAAAAUUAUGAGAAUUGGAAAUCCAUUGCCUAAUUAUGGACAAUCACCAUGGCCGUGUGCAGGGAAGUAAAGCCUUACUAACUUGAUUGAGUUUUUCGAGGAGGUAGCGAAGGUGAUUGAUGAGUUAGAGUCACAGAUGUUGCCUACAUCGAUUUUAGAAAGGCGUUUGACAAGAUCCCUCAUGGGAGGCUCAUUCAGAAGAUUAAGAUGCAUGAGAUUCACGGUGAAUUAGCCGUUUGGAUUCAGAAUACAGAGGGUAGUAGUCAAUAGUGCUUAUUCUGACUGGAGGUUAGUGACUAGUGGUUUGUACUAGUAAUUCUGCUCUUUGCCAUAUAUAUAAAUGGUGUAAUGAGAAAGUAGAUGGAUGGACUAGUCAGUCUGCAGACAUGCGAAGGUGGGUGGUGCAGAGGAUUUCUAAAGAACUCAGCAGGAAAGAGAUCUGUUGCAGAUAUUGGUGAAGAAAUGGCAAAUGUGAAGUGUUGCACACUGGGAGAUCAAACAUAAAGGGACAGCACAGUGUAUAGAGGGAUGUUGGGUUCCAAGACCAUAACUCCCUGAAAGUGGCUACACAAGCUAUAGGGUAGUAAAGAAGACACAUGCAUGCUUGCAAUUGAGUCCAAGUAUCGUGAAGUUAUUUAUCAGCUUUAUGAAGCUCUAGUUAGGCCCUAUCUAGAAUAUUGCCCUUAAUUCCCCUCCCCCAUAAUAGGAAGGAUUUGGAAAGGGUGUAGAAGAGAUUUACCAGUAUGUUGACUGGAUUAGAGGGCAUGCACUAUAAAGAGAGUUUCGACACACUUGGAUUGUUUACUCUGGAACAGAAGAAGCUGACAGAAGAGUUUAUUAUGGUUUAUAAGAUUAUGAUAGGCAAAGAUAGAGAGCUAGUAUCUUUUCAAAGUUCAAAUUUCAAAGUAAGUAUUAUAUCAAAGUACGUAUAUGUCAUCAUUACAACCCUGAGAUUCAUUUUCUUGUGAUCACAGUAAAUACAAUAAAAUGAAUAAAAGAGCACACCAACAGGAUAGAUAAGCAAUGUGCAAAAGACAACAAUCUGGGCAAAUGCAAAAAGAAAAAUAAAUAGAUAGAUAGAUAAAUAAAUAAAAUCAAGAACAUGAGAUGACCAGUUCUUGAAAGGGAGUCCAGAGGUUGUGGGAACAGUUCAGAAAUAAGGCGAGUGAAAUUAUCCCCUUUAAUUCAAGAACCUGAUGGCUUCAGGGUAAUCAUUGUUCCUAAUCGUGGAGAUACGGGCACCUUCUUCAUGGUGGCUGCAGCAAGAAGAGAGCAUGAUCUGGAUGGUGGGGGUCCCUGACGAUGGAUGCUGCUUUCCUGCAACAGCACGCCACGUAACUGUGCUCAAUGUUGGGGAGGGCUUUACCCAUUGACGUGCCAGAGGGCAUGCAUUUAAGGUGAGAGGGAUAUGUUCAAAGCCACAAGGUGUGAGAUCAUGUUCAACCUCAUUCAUUAACUUAAAAGUAUGGUUUUUAUACCGAUGCAGACAGUUCAUGACCAUGCUACAUCAUAGAUACUGAUAAUUAUCAAUUACUAACCUCUCUCUGUACUUUUAGCCGGAUUUAGAUCCCACAGUCUAUUUAAAAAAUUAGCAGUGUUGUUAUGCCCUAUGCCAUAACCAAUAAUUAGUUCUCAAUAAACAUUACAAAUGCAGAUGAACUGGUUACUACUGAAUUGCUUUCUGAGAAAGCUUGUACUGAAUAAACUGCCUAGCACUUUUUUUCACUCCAACAUGGAUCAUGCGCAAAAGAAAAAGUACUUCAGGGUGAGUGUGUUCAAAAACGCAUGACAUGAAAGCAAGACUUUCCUGCUUUGACUUUUCAAACAAUAAACAAAAUUUAUACAGAUAAAAAUGUAAUCAUUUACCCAAAGUCUUCUUACUUGUUUAAUUUGACUCAUGUUACACAGCAAUGCAUGGAACAGCAUUUCAAACAGUGGCUUUAUUUUCCAACAGCAAUAAAGUCAUAUUAGGCAGCUCUUGCCACAGAACUGUAUGUUCAUACUAAUGAGGUGCCAUUUAGAGUUCCACAAGCUUUUAAUUAUCGUUAGCAGUAAACUAAACCAUCCAACUGGAAGUCAAUUGAAACAGAUCAAACAAUAAUGAAGAAUUUCACAUCAGCAGGUGGAAAUAUUUAUUGCAUCAGCACUUGAAAUGGUGGGAAAUUGAGGGAAAAGUUUCAGGCAGGAAGAAUCAUGUCCUGUGGGUGUUGAAUGUUUUUGAGAUCUCAGAAACCAAGUACAAGAUCUUUUCAGUUGAUAAACUCACAACUAAGCCAUUUAUACAAGGCAAACAGAAUGAUGAAAAUCUGUAUUGUAUGAUCACAGUGCUGUAUUUUAUUCCUGUUUUAACUUCAAAAUGUUCUGCUGAUUCCAUUGUUUGUGUCAGUUCCAGAGAAUCUGAUAGUUAUUUAAGUUAUGCAGACUACACAUUGUUUAUGUUCCAUUAUUUUGCCAUCGUAGAACCUUCUAAAUGUUAGCAAAAUAACAAGAGAUCUUGAUUUUAUAGAUAUAUUCCAUUUCAAACAAAAUGUGUACCCACCUACCAAGGUCAGUGGGUUCUAUAAACAAACCCUACAACUUAUCAGCUAUCAGCUACAUGUCGAUUAUUUAUUUGACUCCUUAAAUUGAAUAAGCACAUUCACUUCAAGGUUCAACAUGUCAUGUGUACAGAGAUGGUUUUCUGCACACACUGUUGUAGCGCAUGGUUAGUUGAGUUACUGUCACCUUGUUGUCAGCUGGAACCAUUAAUCAAAGUCUGGCCAUUGACUGCUUUCAUUAACAAGUCACUUUCGCCCAAAGAACUGCUACUCACUGGAUGCUUUUUUUUUUGUUUUUUACAUUAUUCUCUGGAAAUUCUAGAGACUCUCAUGUAUGAAAAUUCCAGGAGAUCAGCAGUUUCUGAGAUACUCAAACCACCCUGUCUGGCAGCAACAAUCAUUCUACAGUCAAAGUCACCUAGAUCAUAUUUCUUCCCCAUUCUGAUGUUUGGUCUGUACAACAACUGAAUCUCAUGACCAUUGAGCUGCCACGACAUGUUUGACCAAUUAGAUAAUCUUCAUUCAACACACAAAAAUUGCUGGAAGAUCUCAGCAUGCAGCAUUCAUUCAGAUAGGGUUGUUAAGUAAUAACAAUAAUAAUAAUAAAUGCAAUACCCCCCCCCCAUAGCUGUACUUCGAUUAAUUUGCCACAGAUUUUGGUAGAGAAUUUUCUAUCCUGAAAUGGCCUGAAUUUUUUUUUAAUGGAGUAGAAUUACUUGGAUCCCAGCAUAAAACAAAACUCUUUGAGCAAUUCACGAUAAUUAUUGCUAAAAAUAAUAGGCACACAAAUUUGUAUUCAUAGUAGAAUGACUUGCACACAAAUAGGCCAGUGAAGGCAGGAGCAAUGAGCCUGCAUAGCACAGAAGUAGAUUUUUAAGUGGAACUCUAUAUUAGUGGAGAGACAUACCUGAAGUGAAUUUUUAAUUAUUGCUGUCUUGGAGUCAAAAACAAAUGAUGAUUGUAAAAUCAACUGCAAUGUAAGUUUUUGACCUCAGAAUAAGAUAGUUAUUUCUUCCCUUUUAUUCUUCUCAAGGAGAGAUGAAUCACAUGCAAUUGAUUAGCACAGACACCAUCCUUCCUAAGUCGGUGUACCCAUACAUUGUGAUAAACAUUAGAAGUUAAUGGAGAGCCAUGGUUUGUUUGCCUACCAAUGUGAUGGCUAAAGUAACAACACCCCAUGAUUAUAAUUCCUGAUUCAAAUUUACUACUGCAAGGGAGAAAGGAAAUCAUGUUGUAUUUGUUUUUUUCCUCAUUUCAAGCUGUUUUCAUAGAGGUAAAAUUUCACUUGUGGCUCACCACUGAGUGCUUGUAAAUAGAGACCUGAUGUAAAUCAUAGUGGUGUUAGGGGAGCAUAAGACUAAUACAGCCAGCCAGCCAUUCAUUAUGUGCUUUUGGAUCUCAGUAUGAUUGACAACAGCUUUGUGUUUAUGAACUUCUGCAGACCAGACAUUCAGUAAAGAACAGUUUGAAAUCAGUUCAAGCUGAAAAAAUACAUUCAAAUCUCAAAAUCAGGCAAAGCAAUUUUAAUUAAAAGUUUCUUUUCCACAGAGGAGUAGAGCACUUCACAAGUCAAGCUGCAUCAAAAAAAAAUAAGCUCCGACUAAAGCUAACAUUGGAGAAGUCAAUCAUACAAGCAUAAACACAUCUUCAUAAGAAGUCCUGGUUGUGGAUGUAGUAUUAUUCGGGGAAUGCUUCUUUUCCUGAGACCAGCAAAAUGGAACUAGCCAUUAAACAGUGAAGGAGAAUUCCAGUAAAUGCCUGAUUUCUUAUUUUAGUGAAGCUUUUUUGCAGGUUGCUCUUGCCUCAAUGUCACAACCACCAAGCACCAUAGCAUCAGUGGGAUGCUAGUGGAGUGGUGCCACAUCAGU